Orcinus orca (killer whale) is the source of this 856-nucleotide long non-coding RNA. RefSeq lists it as uncharacterized. The record is from RefSeq and is a predicted model, not a curated record. The transcript has 3 exons. NCBI's taxonomy places the organism in Eukaryota, Metazoa, Chordata, Mammalia, Artiodactyla, Delphinidae.
GUUGCUGGCAGCCAUCUGGAACAAAAAGAAUAGGACAGUAAGAGAAAUUUGGAAUAACCUGCGGUCUCCAAAAGGGGCAUCCUACAGCCAUAAACUCCAAAAGCAGUCUCAUCUGAAAGUCUCACCAAAACGUUCCCAAGGCGGAUUCAUCAGUACUGGCCACCAUAUGGGCCCUUGGAGAUCUAUUGAGAUGACCACCAACACUUGAAUAGCGAGGGGCUGCCUUUCAGCGCCGCACAAUGCCCCGCGAGUAAGGGAAACUAUUAAACUCCUGGGGCAGGAGCGUUGGCAAACUUUCGUGGGCAGAAUUUUGAGGCCACAAUGAGUGCGGACAACAAAAGGAUUCUCUUGAGGCGUGCAGCGGGCCACAUUGUGUUACAAGAAGCCCAGUCAACAGACUUUUCAGUGAACAACGGAGGUGCAGCGCUGACUUGAACUGACAUUUAAGAGGAGGAAAGUCAACGAGGAUGAGGAGAGCUCGAUUUUAAACCUCUUUGAGGGGGAAAAUAAAAACAGCCGUGGAAUUAGAGGCAGUUCAGGAGAAACCCGUGGCUGCAGGAUCCCUCCAAGACCCUGAAGAGCGAGCGUGCUCCACUGAAAGUUUGUUUGCUCCUUUAAAAAUAGCAACUGUUCGCAGCGAGGCAGUGCCGGAGAGGUCACUCUUAGACUGGGUGCCCCCCUUUUUUUCUUUAGUGGAUUUACCUUCCACUCUUAAAGCUUUUAGCAAAAUAGAACUGGAAGUUGGAUCUCGAAUUCCCCACAUGAUAAACCUAAGUGGCAGACAAUUAAGAUAUCUUCUUUAAAAGGCGCCCCCUCUGAGCGCAAAGAAGGGGCCUUCAAUGGGCGCCGUCCACCU